GCUCUAAUUGCUUGGUAUUUCAGCUUGUUUCGUCCUGAUCGAAUUAAGGCUUUGGUUAAUCUAAGUGUUGUGUUCCGUCCUAGACACCCUUCACGAAAACCGGUGGAUACCUUGCGAGAAUUGUUCGGUAAUGACUAUUAUAUGUGUAGUAAGAUUUUGUUGGAGAAACAUAGCAUGAAGAAAAGCAUAUAUUAUGAACAUAACAUUAUACCUGCCGUAACUUUUUUUUAAAUUCUACUGUGAAUAUGUUAUUCAACUAGCCAGAAUACAUAUCCAUACAGUUGGAUAAAACAAAUUGGUGAAGUAGUUGUAAGUAUAUACCACAAAAAAAAGAAGAUGAAUUAAAUCUUUGAAUAUUGCUUUGUUUUGGAUGUUUUUGUCUAAGAAUUUUUUUUCUUAAUUGGAUUAAUAAUUUUGUGUGCGUUCGGUAAUGACUAUUAUAUGUGUAGGUUUCAGGUAUAUUUAUUUUUCUGGAGAUUUCAGGAAUAUUGCUUUCUUUUUUUGUCGUUGUUGUUCCACUAGCAUGAAUGGAUCGGUAAAUUAGUUGGCUUUCUACUCUUUGGUCUUUGGAUGAACAUAUAGUAAACUCUGCCUAUUUGAGCUUUGAAUAGCUGGUCCGGGUUUGGUAAUGUAGAAUAGGGACUGUGACAUCAAACCUCAUACCUGCAAAUUCUUUGGCCUUUUUUUUUUGCCAAUUUGCUUUUGGCAGCUAGUAAGACAAGAGGGCUUGCUCUGAUAGUAAGCAACCCCCACAUCCAACCGAGAGAUUGUGAGUUCGAGUCUCUCCAAGAGCAAGGUGGGAAGUUCUUGGAGGGAAAGAUGCCGAGGGUCUAUUUGAAAACAGCCUCUCUACCCCAGGGUAGGGGUAAGGUCUGCAUACAUACUAUCCUUCUCAAACCCCACUAAGUGGGAUUAUAUUGGGUUGUUGUUGUUGUUGUUGCUUUUGGCAGCUAGCAUUGAAGCCGAUAUACAAAUCAAACAAGAACUAGCAAUUUGUUCCCUGGUAACUUAUGUGAAUAAUAUACUUAGAUCCAGAGAUAGGAACCCUGAUGAACAAACCAGUUACUUAAACUUUGGUGACUUUGAUGAGAAUUUGGUCAGUUACUUCAACUGUGGAAGAGAGAUGAAUCCUAAUGCCUAAACUCUUUCUGGAAUUUAGUAUUGAUAAUGAUAGUAAGGCUCCUUACUAUGAUUUGUUAAUCAGUUCUUUUACCCUCUUUAAGUGAGUUUGUAAAUUCUUGUUUGGUCAUUUGUAUCAGCUCUGCCUUUUAAGUUUGUGGCCACUUUAUCUUCUCCAAAGUGAAGAGAAAAUGGUUGAAUGAUAUUCUUUCAGUGAUUAGAGGGUCUUACAUUCUUUACUCAAGUUAUAGGUGCUGCGAAAUAAAAUACAAUUUCAUUCUUAAAUUUUAUGUUGGUGCUUGUUCUUUCUAGCGAAACAUUACGUAGCGUUUGGCAUAUUUCUCUGAUGCUUAUUGGACCUUUUCUGAUUGCUGUUACCCUUCAUAUGACUGCUUUUCCUUUCUUUCUAUGCCUUUUCUUGAAUGGAGUGGUUAAAGAAAGGAAAGAUGACAGAUUCACUAUUAAAAGAUUUAUAGGCUUUAAACCAAACUUCAUUUCUUCACUUGGCUAGUAAACCAUUUUUAAGAGAUCUAAUAUUUCCUCCUUCAUCUGUCGAACUAGCUACAGUAACAACAAGGUGCCACUAAAUUUCAAGUAAUUGUGUUUUGUUAAUGUGAAAAUAAUGCAAUGAUAUUCGAUCAACGCAGAUUGUUUUCGAAUUUCGCAGUAGUAAACUUUUUUGGUUUUUUCCGAUGCUGCUAUUAUAUUCAGAAACCUGGGGAAGUGGAAGAGGAGUUUGCUUCUGUUGAUACUGCAAUUGUCAUUAAGGGAUUUCUUUCUUCACGUGAUC
Molecule: long non-coding RNA, 1909 nt
Filed under: Nicotiana benthamiana
Lineage: Eukaryota; Viridiplantae; Streptophyta; Magnoliopsida; Solanales; Solanaceae
Description: long non-coding RNA (NBEN_LNC025437)
Source: RNAcentral